GAUGAAGAACGUAGCGAAAUGCGAUAAGUAGUGUGAAUUGCAGAGUUCAGUGAAUCAUCGAAUCUUUGAACGCACAUUGCGCCCUUUGGUAUUCCAAAGGGCAUGCCUGUUCGAGCGUCAUUUGUACCCUCAAGCUUUGCUUGGUGUUGGGCGUCUUGUCUCUAGCUUUGCUGGAGACUCGCCUUAAAGUAAUUGGCAGCCGGCCUACUGGUUUCGGAGCGCAGCACAAGUCGCACUCUCUAUCAGCAAAGGUCUAGCAUCCAUUAAGCCUUUUUUUCAACUUUUGACCUCGGAUCAGGUAGGGAUACCCGCUGAACUUAAGCAUAUCAAUAAGCGGAGGA
RNAcentral lists this unclassified non-coding RNA (341 nucleotides) under soil metagenome. RNAcentral's name for it is "partial contains 5.8S ribosomal RNA, internal transcribed spacer 2, and large subunit ribosomal RNA". The stretch from base 1 to 120 matches the Rfam family "5.8S ribosomal RNA", at positions 35 to 154 of the family's 154-position model. The record is from RNAcentral.